Long non-coding RNA from Carassius gibelio (silver crucian carp), 983 nucleotides. RefSeq lists it as uncharacterized. The transcript has 2 exons. Lineage: Eukaryota; Metazoa; Chordata; Actinopteri; Cypriniformes; Cyprinidae. The record is from RefSeq and is a predicted model, not a curated record.
AGCGGGUAGGGCGUAGGCAGCGGGAAUUGCGCCUUGAUUGAAUCAGGUGGUGGGCGUUUGGCGUUGCACCUUUAAAUGUAGCAAGCUGGCGGUUCCUCUGAUUAGUGUUACUAUAGAUUCUUGGUUCCUUGGACUCUUGGUUGGUUGUACGAGUUGAUCUCGACUCGGUGUUUGUGGGUUAUUCAGUGCGGUGGUUACAUCUAGCUCCGUCUUCACGAGCCCUCACCGGCUACGGAUUGUGUCUGCGUGUUUCAAUGAAAAUUCGCUGAUUUAGAGUAUGACCACUACAAGUUUGCCGAGUGCUGUUUGUUGUGCUGAGAAUGUAAGUUCACUGGCUUCCUUUUUUUCCCUCACGUGUUUACAUCGGUGUUACGGAGCGCUUGUUUAUAUGUGUGUAAUUGUGUUGACUCGUCAUGUCUGUAUUAUAGAUUGGCCUGGGAAUGUAUGAGUAAAAACCAGACGGAAUAAGGCGAUUGCUACAGUAUUACAACUAAACAAGCUCUUGGUUCGACGCUGCGGUCUGUGUCCAUACAGGAGGACCGUCAUAUGCCAUCUUGGCCACUGUUUUUCCUGUGCCCUGUUUUUAGUAUUCAGUUGUGUGUGUGUGUGUGUGUGUGUGUGUGGGAGGAAGGCCCACUGUGUUGCUCAUUAGUCUUCAUCUGUGUGCGUUGCUGUAUGUUUUAUGUUUGUAUCUUGGGCCAUUGGGUUGGUGCAAUAUCCUGGGACGGGGAAUAACAAUUUUGUUGUGUGGUCACUGGUUUGCUGAGUGUAAAUUUAUUUUGUUUUCUGUGCAUAUGAUUUGUGAUGUGCCUUAUUUAUUCUGUAUUUGCUGAUUUGAGUUUUGCUGAUUUUUGUUAUACACAUUUUGAUUUUGCACUUUGUUGUCCCUGUCCCUGAAUUUGUUGACCAGAGGCCUAAUGUUUGUUAUUUUAAGUGUGUCUAACUGGAGAAAAAUAAAAUAAACUGUUUCUAUUUUUAUAAUA